GAAAAAUAGAGUGUUCCCAGAGUUAGUCUUUUAAGUAAAAUAAAGUAAAUUUGCUUCGCGUUGUGUUUUAUAGUAGUAAAAUUGCACCAAAAAGGGGUGACUAACUCUGGCGAACUGCACCGAAGUGGUGGCUAACUCUAGACUCGAUUAGUACUAAUAUUAGUUCCGGCGAGUAUUUGGAGGCCUGUGCAAGGCCGACUCCGACUGAAUAUCAAAUGAUAUCCUAAACUUGUCAUUAAACAGGAGAACUUUAACAUAAAAGGUACUGAAGAAAAGUUAAAUAAAUGAAUAUUCUUAAAACAUGAUAAAAGCAUCAAAAGUUAAAUACUAAAACAGUUAA
RNAcentral lists this long non-coding RNA (340 nucleotides) under Mytilus galloprovincialis (Mediterranean mussel). Lineage: Eukaryota; Metazoa; Mollusca; Bivalvia; Mytilida; Mytilidae. The record is from RNAcentral.